UCAUCAUCAAACAUUUUCAAAAUUAUGCAGUUCUAAUCUAUCAGAAAAAGUAUAUAGAAAGCCACUACAUUGUAAAAGCCACAAAUUAUCAUUGAAUACCCUAUCUGAUAAGGUCUAAUUUUAAAAUAGAAUUUCACUGUAAAAUUUUAGACGUGCGCAGAUGCGACAGCGGCAGAUUGCUUUCGAUCAGACGUCGCGUCGGGACGCUAAAUUAUUCCUCGAUAGAAUAUCUUACAUAGGAUACGACAUAAGUAAAUCUUUGUAUAGAGCUUUACAUUUGACGUGUUAACAUCAUGGUUUCAAGAAGGGCAUUUUUUCCACAUUUGUCGAAUAAGACGGUCAGUUUGAUACUUUUAAGUUUAUUUAACAACCGUAGAACGGAGGUCUACCCAUAUGCUGUUCAUUCAAGAUAUUUUUCACGGUGUAAUGUUAUAAGAUAGAGGUACCUUCUGUCAAUGAUCGUUCUGUUAUUGAAAAGACGCACUCAAUGUGUUCCCUUUUUUUAAGAACUUAUUCAGUAGUUAGUUCCGUUUUUUUUUUUACUACCUGGAACUUCCUUUUAGUCGACUCUUUCCUUUGUAAACAUACGUAAAGACCGUCAUGUAUAAAAAAAGGGAAAUAACGAAAGCGAGAUCAUUAUAACUACAUAGGCUGAAUUAGGCCAAUCCAGCGAAAAGAGCUGGGUGCCAAAUUUUAACCUUCAGAAAAAUUUAAAGGCAUCAACCUAAUUAAAACCAGGUGAUCAGUUUCAUUAGAAACACGCGACAUUAGUUUAGAUAAGAUCAAACGAACAUUUUUUAGACUAUAUUUGCAAUCGCACUAACCACUUUUAAUUCUGGUUUAAACUUAAUGUAUAUUUUAACUACAGAAACUUUUUAAUUUUAAGUUGUUACAAUAGUUAAUAAUUAAUUUUAUGAAAGCAGUAUUAUAGCAUGUGUGAAAAUUGAGAUAAGAAUAUAAGUACAUUUAAUUGAAGCAGCAUGAAACUGUUAUGAAAUACAAAAAAGUAAUUUAUUGUAGGCAUGGAUGAAUUUCUUAUUAUAUGCAGUGUACAGGCAACAAUUUUGAAGUGUUUUGGAUUAAGUAUAAUUUAAUAACUGAUAUACAAUCUUUAAGCGUAGCAUAAAUUAAAAUGUUUAAUCAGUUUUUCUGUAAAA
Agrilus planipennis (emerald ash borer) is the source of this 1157-nucleotide long non-coding RNA. RefSeq lists it as uncharacterized. The transcript is spliced from 3 exons. The record is from RefSeq and is a predicted model, not a curated record. NCBI's taxonomy places the organism in Eukaryota, Metazoa, Arthropoda, Insecta, Coleoptera, Buprestidae.